UAGGGAAUCUUCCACAAUGGACGAAGGUCUGAUGGAGCAACGCCGCGUGAGUGAAGAAGGGUUUCGGCUCGUAAAACUCUGUUGUUAAAGAAGAACAUAUCUGAGAGUAACUGUUCAGGUAUUGACGGUAUUUAACCAGAAAGCCACGGCUAACUACGUGCCAC
RNAcentral lists this ribosomal RNA (164 nucleotides) under uncultured bacterium. Its description in RNAcentral is "partial 16S rRNA". It matches the Rfam family "Bacterial small subunit ribosomal RNA", at positions 355 to 511 of the family's 1533-position model. The record is from RNAcentral.